AAUAGAUACCCCGGUAGUCCACGCUGUAAACGUUGGACACUAGGUGUGGCGGUCUGAUCAACGACUGCCGUGCCGAAGCUAACGCAUUAAGUGUCCCGCCUGGGGAGUACGGCCGCAAGGCUAAAACUCAAAGGAAUUGACGGGUCCCCGCACAAGCGGCGGAGCAUGCGGCUUAAUUCGAUGCAACCCGAAGAACCUUACCUGGGUUUGACAUCAUGGGAAAAGCCGUGGAAACACGGUGUCCGAAAGGGCCCAUGACAGGUGGUGCAUGGCUGUCGUCAGCUCGUGUCGUGAGAUGUUGGGUUAAGUCCCGCAACGAGCGCAACCCUUGUCCUAUGUUGCCAGCGGUUUCGGCCGGGGACUCAUAGGAGACUGCCGGGGAUAACUCGGAGGAAGGUGAGGACGAUGUCAAGUCAUCAUGCCCCUUAUAUCCAGGGCUGCACGCAUGCUACAAUGGUCGGUACAACGGGCAGCGAUCCUGCGAAGGUGAGCGAAUCCCACAAAGCCGGCCUCAGUUCGGAUUGGAUCUG
This 530-nucleotide ribosomal RNA is filed under the name uncultured bacterium. RNAcentral describes it as "bacterial SSU rRNA". It matches the Rfam family "Bacterial small subunit ribosomal RNA", at positions 777 to 1307 of the family's 1533-position model. The record is from RNAcentral.